RNAcentral lists this ribosomal RNA (693 nucleotides) under Systellaspis sp. BOLD:AAF3833. RNAcentral's name for it is "eukaryotic LSU rRNA". It matches the Rfam family "Eukaryotic large subunit ribosomal RNA", at positions 42 to 503 of the family's 3401-position model. The record is from RNAcentral. Lineage: Eukaryota; Metazoa; Arthropoda; Malacostraca; Decapoda; Oplophoridae.
AUUAAUGAGCGGAGGAAAAGAAACCAACCGGGAUUCCCUGAGUAAGGGCGACUGAAACGGGAGGAGCCCAGCGCAUAACCUCGCGGUCCCAGCCGCGAGGGGUGUUGCGUUUCGGUGGAUCCGUCCCGCCCGAGCCGUUCGGCGCCUAAGUCACUGCUUGAAAGCAGCCCCCGGGAGGGUGAUAGGCCCGUGUGGCGGCGCCCGCCAGAGGGUCAGGGCGGUUCGGGCGGAGGGAUCUCCACCGCAGAGUCGGGUUGCUUAGUACUGCAGCCCUAAGCAGGUGGUAAACUCCAUCUAAGGCUAAAUACAAACCACGAGACCGAUAGAGAACAAGUACCGUGAGGGAAAGUUGAAAAGGACUUUGAAGAGAGAGUUCAAGAGGACGUGAAACCGUUAGAAGCCAAACGGGUGGAACCGCGAAGGUCGAACGAGGGGAUUCAGCCCGUCGGCCGGCAGCGGCGGCGGACGGCUCGCUCGACACGGGCGUGAGGACCGGGCGCGAGGCGUCCCGGCUCCGUCCCCGCCUCCCCCUUGCCGGCGGGCUUAUUUCUCCCUCCAGUAGGUCGCCGCGACCCGUGGCGGGGACCCCGAGGCCGUCCCGGAUCGGAAGGCUCCCUCGCGGAGCCGACGCCGGGCGCGGUUCUGGCGGCCCCUGCGACGGUCACUGCGGGGAGGUCGUGCUCGCAGCAACUC